Molecule: ribosomal RNA, 206 nt
Filed under: uncultured bacterium
Lineage: Bacteria
Description: partial 16S ribosomal RNA
Rfam family: Bacterial small subunit ribosomal RNA
Source: RNAcentral
UGCGUAGGCGGGUCUUUAAGUCAGGGGUGAAAUCCUGGAGCUCAACUCCAGAACUGCCUUUGAUACUGAAGAUCUUGAGUUCGGGAGAGGUGAGUGGAACUGCGAGUGUAGAGGUGAAAUUCGUAGAUAUUCGCAAGAACACCAGUGGCGAAGGCGGCUCACUGGCCCGAUACUGACGCUAAGGCACGAAAGCGUGGGAGCAAACA